Molecule: unclassified non-coding RNA, 1419 nt
Filed under: uncultured Neocallimastigales
Lineage: Eukaryota; Fungi; Neocallimastigomycota; Neocallimastigomycetes; Neocallimastigales
Description: partial contains small subunit ribosomal RNA, internal transcribed spacer 1, 5.8S ribosomal RNA, internal transcribed spacer 2, and large subunit ribosomal RNA
Rfam family: Eukaryotic large subunit ribosomal RNA (bases 640-1419)
Source: RNAcentral
AGGUUUCCGUAGGUGAACCUGCGGAAGGAUCAUUAAAAAAUUGGGCUCCAUUGGUGAGUUCAUUAAUAAUCCCUACCCUUUGUGAAUUUGUUUGUUUGAAUAAUUUUUUUCCAAAAAAAAUUAUUGAAUGUCUUUCCCUGUUUUGGUGGAGCUUGUAAAGUGAAACCAGGCAGGGGAAUGGCAAACAAUAAUUAUUUUUGAAAAAAGACCUUUUUUUAAAAUUAAACUUUUUGUAUUCAUUUGUCUAAAAUUAUUUUUAUAAUAUAAAAACAACUUUUGACAAUGGAUCUCUUGGCUCUCGCAACGAUGAAGAACGCAGCAAAAUGCGAUAAGUAGUGUGAAUUGCAGAAUACGUGAAUCAUCGAAUCUUCGAACGCAUAUUGCACUUUUUUAGUUUACUAAAAAAGUAUGUCUGUUUGAGUAUCAGUAAAAUAUUCUCAUAAAAAACAUUGGUUUUUAUGGUUAUGAGUGUUUUACAACGAUACAAGUUGUUUCACUUUAAAUUUUUUUAAAAUUUGAAUUUUUCUAAUUUUAAAAUAAAAUUGGAUAAAAUUUUCCCGUAAAAAGGAAUAACCUAAACAAUUUUAAAUUUUUGAUUAGAAUUCUUCACAUUCUAAAGGAAAAUUUAACUAAAUAACUUGAUCUCAAAUCAGAUAAGAGUACCCGCUGAACUUAAGCAUAUCAAUAAGCGGAGGAAAAGAAACUAACAAGGAUUCCCUUGGUAACGGCGAGUGAAGCGGGAAGAGCUCAAAUUUGAAAUCUUCAAGGUUUUACCUUGACGAAUUGUAGUUUAAAGAAGUGUUUUCUGUUGAAGUUUUGGUAAAAGUUCUUUGGAAUAGGACAUCAUAGAGGGUGAGAAUCCCGUAUUUGACCAUUAUUUUCAGCUGUGUGAUACACUUUCAAAGAGUCGGAUUGUUUGGGAAUGCAGUCCAAAAUGGGUGGUAAAUUUCAUCUAAAGCUAAAUAUUGGCGAGAGACCGAUAGCGAACAAGUACCGUGAGGGAAAGAUGAAAAGAACUUUGAAAAGAGAGUUAAACAGUACGUGAAAUUGUCAAAAGGGAAGCGUUUGACACCAGUGUUGGUUUCUCGAAAAUCAAUUAAAAAAAGUUGGAUUUUGUGUUGUAUUGACCUUAACAGCUUGCUUCACUCUUUUCCUGCUUUUUUUAAUGCACUUUUCGUUUAACAAGUCAACAUCAGUUUCUUUUGUUGUAAAAGGGUCAUUGGAAGGUGGCUUUCUCUUCGGAGAAAGUGUUUAUAGCCUUUGAUCUCUGCAAUCGGAGAGACUGAGGUCUGCAGCGUAGAUCCUUCGGGGUUAGAUACAUUUGUGCUAAGCUACAGCUUUUCAUAGACAACUUGUUGACUAUGUUUAGUCUUGUAACUUACCCGCUUAUGCUAUUUUACCUACGCUUAGGAUGUUGAA